Long non-coding RNA from Biomphalaria glabrata, 900 nucleotides. RefSeq lists it as uncharacterized. The transcript is spliced from 5 exons. The record is from RefSeq and is a predicted model, not a curated record. NCBI's taxonomy places the organism in Eukaryota, Metazoa, Mollusca, Gastropoda, Planorbidae.
AAAAAUGAUAAAGUUUUAUUUUUAUUUUCUAAUCUUUGCUUGUCUAAUUUUUUCUUUAAUCAGUACCUUAUCAGCCAAUAAAUGUGAAGAAGGUUGGUUUGGCUCUGAAUGUCAAUAUAAAUGUCGUUGUCAACAAUCGUGUAAUCCCGAAGGUGAAUGUCCAGAUAAAUGUGAAGAUGGUUGGUUUGGUUACAAGUGCCAAUACCGUUUAAUUCAAUACCUGGCUACAAAAAACAAAUCUCAAGAGGAUGUUACUACCAUUUUAAAUGAUGACGACGAGACAACUUGUACCGAACUCAAUACAGAAACUUUAGUUGUUAAUCUUAAAAACAUUUAUUUUGACCCAUGGAUUCGCUUGUCUACACAGAAACCAGAAACUCUAUACAGUUUCAAGAUGUCUUAUCUGGACGAAAACUACAAAACUCUAGCUGCAAAAUCAAAGAAAAACAUUUUAGUCAGAGAUAACACUUUAGAUGCUUACAUUUCCUUAGAUGAUGUUUAUUUACAUUAUCUAAUUUUAAAGAGUAAUGUGUUACAGCGAAUUUGCUCGUUAUGGAUUAAUCUUGGUCAAAAUGUUGCGGUAAAACAGAAAGUUUACUACAGUCAUUCAAAAAUAAGUCAGUUAAACACAAGCCUACCUCAGUAUCCUCAAGCUACAAAUGACGUGCAGAAAUGUAACAAAAAAGAUGCAGAAAUUGUGGCCACGAAUUGGAUGAUAAUAAUGAAUCCUUCAUUUUCAAUCAAGAAAUACAGAUUUUUUUUUCAAGACAUACUUGGUAAGUAUUUGCCUUGCAAUUCAUCUUUAUAAUCUCUUUUUACUUUGAUGUAUAUAAAAUCGUUGCAUCUUUAAUGCGAGUCGAAUUUUGAGAAUUCGUUUUACUGCGAAUAGAUUUUUUAUAA